RNAcentral lists this ribosomal RNA (253 nucleotides) under uncultured bacterium. RNAcentral describes it as "partial 16S ribosomal RNA". It matches the Rfam family "Bacterial small subunit ribosomal RNA", at positions 524 to 776 of the family's 1533-position model. The record is from RNAcentral.
GACGUAGGGGGCCAGCGUUGUUCGGAAUUACUGGGUGUAAAGGGUUCGUAGGCGGUGUGGCAAGUCGGGAGUGAAAUCUCUGGGCUCAACCCAGAGUCUGCUUCCGAAACUGCUGUGCUUGAGUACUUAAGAGGAUCGCGGAAUUCCCGGUGUAGAGGUGAAAUUCGUAGAUAUCGGGAGGAACACCAGUGGCGAAGGCGGCGAUCUGGGAAGAUACUGACGCUGAGGUGCGAAAGCGUGGGGAGCAAACAGG